RNAcentral lists this ribosomal RNA (253 nucleotides) under uncultured bacterium. Its description in RNAcentral is "partial 16S ribosomal RNA". It matches the Rfam family "Bacterial small subunit ribosomal RNA", at positions 524 to 776 of the family's 1533-position model. The record is from RNAcentral.
UACGAAGGGGGCUAGCGUUGCUCGGAAUCACUGGGCGUAAAGCGCGUGUAGGCGGUUAUCCAAGUCGGGUGUGAAAGCCUUGAGCUCAACUCAAGAAAUGCAUUCGGUACUGGGUGACUAGAGGACCGGAGAGGAUAGUGGAAUUCCCAGUGUAGUGGUGAAAUACGUAGAGAUUGGGAAGAACACCAGUGGCGAAGGCGGCUAUCUGGACGGUUUCUGACGCUAAGACGCGAAAGCGUGGGGAGCAAACAGG